This 434-nucleotide ribosomal RNA is filed under the name uncultured bacterium. RNAcentral describes it as "bacterial SSU rRNA". It matches the Rfam family "Bacterial small subunit ribosomal RNA", at positions 29 to 507 of the family's 1533-position model. The record is from RNAcentral.
AGCGAACGCUGGCGGCAGGCUUAACACAUGCAAGUCGAACGGGCGUAGCAAUACGUCAGUGGCAGACGGGUGAGUAACGCGUGGGAACGUACCUUUUGGUUCGGAACAACACAGGGAAACUUGUGCUAAUACCGGAUAAGCCCUUACGGGGAAAGAUUUAUCGCCGAAAGAUCGGCCCGCGUCUGAUUAGCUAGUUGGUGAGGUAACGGCUCACCAAGGCGACGAUCAGUAGCUGGUCUGAGAGGAUGAUCAGCCACAUUGGGACUGAGACACGGCCCAAACUCCUACGGGAGGCAGCAGUGGGGAAUAUUGGACAAUGGGCGCAAGCCUGAUCCAGCCAUGCCGCGUGAGUGAUGAAGGCCCUAGGGUUGUAAAGCUCUUUUGUGCGGGAAGAUAAUGACGGUACCGCAAGAAUAAGCCCGGCUAACUUCGUG